CAAAAAUACAAAAAACUAAAUAUUAUUAACUUAAUAAAAUCAUCCACUACAUAAUCAUUAAUUAUCUUUACAAUUAACCAUCUAAAGCUACCAUGUUUCUUCAAUCAAAGUAUAUAUCUAAAUAUAUAGAAAGAGUACACUUCAUAAUUCCAUCCCUUGUCUUCCGUAAACGUAGCACGAAAAUUUGAUACCCAGUAUUGUAAGGCAGGUAGUAGAAGCAGUCUUCCUGCACAUAUUUAAAUAUAAUAGCAAAGUCAGGAAAAUGAAGGGAAAUUAUGAUCAUAAAGGUGUUGGUAUCUAUAUAUUAAUAAGACAUUUUAUCUAUAUUUAACACAUUUCACUUACUGACUAUUGCACAAUUUUCCAACUAUCCACACUAAUCAAUCCUAAUACAUUAAACAUUAACCUUCAAAUUCAAAAAACUAUAAAAAUUAUUAGUACCUAACUAUAACUGAAAUCUGUAUAAAGGUGUGAACGCAAUCAAAUUCACACUGCCCACCUAUGCAUACUAACACUGGAGAUUAGUUUAUAGCAUGAAUAACAUAAAGACCUCAAAUUUGAUUAGUCCCAAAAGAACAUUAAUCUAUAAAAAUUUAUUGCAUCAAUAAGAAUAUACCAGGCUGGAGCCAUUUGAAGCAGAAGACACUGAUUCGACAUUUGCUUCAGAAUUAUCAUCAACCAAACAAGAAACUACCAGAACCCCAAACAAACAAUUCGAUGUUUUUCUCAGGUUAUGAGAAAUCUCCAGUCUGUAAAGCAGAACCGGGAACUAUAAAUAUAUUUUUGUUGGAUUAUCAUAAACAGUUCAAAUAUUGAUGCAAAGAGCAAAAUAAAAAAAAUAAAAAACAAGUUAAAGGGAAAGCUACACACCAGAAGAGGGAUAAUUUACCUGUAGGAUUUGAGGGAACCCAAAUUGGGCCUGAAGAAAUUAGUGUAGGGGAUGGAACAAAAAAUGUAACCAAGAAUUGCAGCAAGUCUUCUCAGUUUGCACCCAAAAAAAAGUCUUUUCUCAGACAUACAUAGCCAAGAAUUUACAUUUGUGUGCAGUAAGUCUCUUCUCAGACAUACAAUAAUCUUCUAAGACAAGUAGGUGAAUAAGAGCAUAUGAUUCAAGAACACGAUAUUGAGCUUCUCUUUCUAAAAUCCAAGUCUUUAUGCAUAAUGGUAACAGCUAAAUAAACUAGUUAGCACAAAGAAGUCUACAUACCAAGACAAGCUGCACUAGAAGAUAAGAGAACAUUGUAAAAGAGCAAACCCACAUCGUCCUCUAGAUCAGUUGAUCUUUUUAUGGCCUCCUACAGAUCCAUGACAUACUAAAUUGGGUUUUCCAUGUAUCUUAAUCAGUACUAAUUGCAUUAUUUCAAGUUGAAACAAGAACAAGAAAUGGGGCAGAGAGUAUCACAUUGUAAAUCAAUUUAUUGUGAAUGUAACAGACGUAGAAUAUUGCAUAGACAAAGUGAUUCCUAAAAGGUACGAAGCACUAUGCAAGCUUCCUCAGUCACAAUUGCGAUAAACACGAAUGCGAUCUCAUAGGAGAAAUUAAUUUCUCGAGGAAAGCAAUAACAUAGAGAAAAAUCUAAAGCUAGAAUCUGUCAGGCUAACAGAUAGAAAUGAGUUAUUGUCAGCAGUGUAGGAGGAAAUAUUUUUUUCAUUUAUUAAAAUAUAGAAGAUUUUACAGAUAAUUCUUCUUCUUCUUUAUUUGUGUGUGUCGGAGGGGGCGGGGGAGUUGGAAAGUUCACUCUAUACAGAAACAAGUGGAACCAAAUCAAAAUAAAACUCUUAGAAAUGAGAGGCUUCCAAUCUCUAUGAAUAUCCAAGACCACUAGGGCUAAAAAGCACCCACAGCAAAAGACUAAAGCAAAGCUAGAAAGAAAUAAUUAUAAGUAAGAUGGAAAAGAAACCAGUUUUCUCAAAUCUCAGCAAAAAGCAAAGGGCAGACAAUGAUCCGUAAACAUUCUUCCAUUCAAUUAAGUCAAAUGCCCCAUAAGCUGCAAAUAAAGCACACUUCGAAGGAAUCUUAGCAUACUUGCUCCUUGCAAAACCCCUUAACCCAACAGAAAGCGAUUAUCAAUCACUAAAGAAUGGAACAACCAAGCCUCCUCGAAGGUGCAGACUGCAAAAAGUGACACCAAAUUGGGCUUGAAGAAAUUAGUGCAGGGGAUGGAACCGAAAGUGAUAGAGCCUACUGGAGAUGCAGCCUCCAGCUGCAGACACAGUUGCCUAGACACAACUGCAGUCAAAGCAGUCCAGCCCCAGGCCAAAAAGGCAUAGAUUGCAGUAGCUAACCAAACCAUCUGGUCGAAACCAUGCCAAACCAGCAAAGUACACUUUAACAUGCAUCAAUAAAAAAUAGUUAACAUCAUACAAAAAUUAGGCAACCGAAUGAAAGGCAUGGGCUACUGGCAGUUAAUAUUAUUCUAUAAUAAACUUGAAGCACAACAAUAACUAAAUUCCAUAUUUCUAAUUCAUCCUAUCACAGUCAAAAUAACCUCCAAAUUAUUGCACAAUUGUAAUAUACCACACUACUAAAUUUUAUAUUACAAAAGCUAUGGACAAGAAAAUGACCUCAAACGCGAUUAAAUUAGUUAAUUUCCCAGUGCAAGAGGAUCAAUUUAGACAGUAUAGCAUUAAAUAAACGAACCAAUGCACAGUCAGGUAUUUUUUCAAACACUUUACACUCGUAACAAACUUAAAAAAUGUAAAUUAUAAAAUUGCAUAUCCACAAAACUCAAAUCAACAUUUGAUAACAGAUUAAAACAAAAAUUCAGAUAAACUAUAUAAACUAAAUUUAAAAACCUUCAAGCCAACACAUACCUCCGGUAUCUGUCAGGUAUAGGGCUUUCUCCUCCACUGUAUCCGGGACUGUCCUGAUGCUCAGGCUUUAAAUCUGGGCUAGCUUAACGACGGUAAUCAUCAGGACUAACCCUCUUUGUUCGAGGGCUAGGGAUCCGACCAUGAUCAUACUCGGGAGUAAGCACAUCUCUCUGGUUGGAGUCUCGCACAGGGUCAGGGCUAGGCCUCUCUCUUCGAGGACUCAUUCUGUAUACAGGCCCCCUAAGCUGGCGAUCUGCACUAAAUUACAAAUUAGGGUUCAUGAGAAAUUGGGGAAAAUUGGAGCAGCGCUAGAUUUGGUAGAUUAAAUAACAAACUUAUCGAUUAUAUGAAAACUUGUUGCCGAUCUAAAGUAAAUUGUGAUUAGAGAUGAUGAGAAGAGAAGAAAUCAAAGCGAAACAUUGGAUAUGUUGUGUUUCACCAACUGGGCUACGUUUUAUCCCAAUUCGGAUAUCCAGCCCUUCAUGUUUCUAAAUUCUAAUCGAUGGUUAAGAUGCUAUUU
This 3334-nucleotide long non-coding RNA is filed under the name Panax ginseng (ginseng). Its description in RNAcentral is "long non-coding RNA (PGIN_LNC006372)". The record is from RNAcentral. Lineage: Eukaryota; Viridiplantae; Streptophyta; Magnoliopsida; Apiales; Araliaceae.